AUUGAACGCUGGCGGCAGGCCUAACACAUGCAAGUCGAACGGUAACAGGGAUCAGCUUGCUGAUUCGCUGACGAGUGGCGGACGGGUGAGUAAUGUCUGGGAAACUGCCUGAUGGAGGGGGAUAACUACUGGAAACGGUAGCUAAUACCGCAUAACGUCGCAAGACCAAAGAGGGGGACCUUCGGGCCUCUUGCCAUCGGAUGUGCCCAGAUGGGAUUAGCUAGUAGGUGGGGUAACGGCUCACCUAGGCGACGAUCCCUAGCUGGUCUGAGAGGAUGACCAGCCACACUGGAACUGAGACACGGUCCAGACUCCUACGGGAGGCAGCAGUGGGGAAUAUUGCACAAUGGGCGCAAGCCUGAUGCAGCCAUGCCGCGUGUAUGAAGAAGGCCUUCGGGUUGUAAAGUACUUUCAGCGGGGAGGAAGGGAGUAAAGUUAAUACCUUUGCUUAUUGACGUUACCCGCAGAAGAAGCACCGGCUAACUCCGUG
Molecule: ribosomal RNA, 490 nt
Filed under: uncultured bacterium
Lineage: Bacteria
Description: partial 16S ribosomal RNA
Rfam family: Bacterial small subunit ribosomal RNA
Source: RNAcentral